Molecule: long non-coding RNA, 562 nt
Filed under: Mus pahari (shrew mouse)
Lineage: Eukaryota; Metazoa; Chordata; Mammalia; Rodentia; Muridae
Description: predicted gene 12514 (MGP_PahariEiJ_G0006166.1)
Source: RNAcentral
AUAGUGUUUGUUACCUCCUUCCCUCAUAUGGUGAAACUAUCUGGAGUUGAGGCCUGAGUGAAGGGAUUAGGUCCUGAGGAUGGAGCCCUUAGGAAUGGGAUGUGUGCCCUUAUAGGAAGAGGGCAGACAGCUGUACUCUGCAACCUAGAAGAGGGUCUGGCAGAACUCAUUUAAGACUCCGGGGAGCCUUAGCUUACGGGGACCCCCUGAGUGAACCACGUGGAGCCAUGUGAUGCAAAAAGCAAGAGGGAUUUAUUGUUCCAGUGCACUGGGGUCAUCCCAGACCAGAAGGAGAGGCGGGGACCCCCAGCACCCAUUUGGAGGUAGCUUUGCAUCAGAGAAUGAAAGCAAUACAAAGGAAGACAGAGCUGAACUUUGAGAACAAGAAUGCAUGGAUGGCACAAUUUUAGGUCUAGAAAGAAUGACAAGUGACAACAUCAGAGGCCUGAAUUUCCCAUUCAGACAAACCAGUAUGUUCCCUUCGUUCUUCAGCUACUUGAAAGUAGAUAUAUUUCAUUUGCAAUUGGGUCCUAAAUAAUGAUAAUUUUAUCUUAUAGGAGUA